GCCCCGAUAGUCUAGUCCGGCCAAGGAUGCUGCCCUUUCGAGGCAGCGACGCGGGUUCAAAGAGAAAUGCGGAGUUUGUUUUUGAAUUCCGUUUUUGUGAAAAUCCCGCUCGGGGCA
This 117-nucleotide transfer RNA is filed under the name Candidatus Woesearchaeota archaeon ex4484_78. RNAcentral's name for it is "tRNA-Glu". It matches the Rfam family "tRNA". From Rfam's summary of the family: Transfer RNA (tRNA) molecules are approximately 80 nucleotides in length. The record is from RNAcentral. Lineage: Archaea; Nanobdellati; Candidatus Woesearchaeota. RNAcentral also lists the same sequence under 1 other name.